GAUGAACGCUGGCGGCGUGCUUAACACAUGCAAGUCGAACGGGAAACCUUUUAUUGAAGCUUCGGCAGAUUUAGCUGGUUUCUAGUGGCGGACGGGUGAGUAACGCGUGGGUAACCUGCCUUAUACAGGGGGAUAACAACCAGAAAUGGUUGCUAAUACCGCAUAAGCGCACAGGACCGCAUGGUCCGGUGUGAAAAACUCCGGUGGUAUAAGAUGGACCCGCGUUGGAUUAGCUAGUUGGUGAGGUAACGGCCCACCAAGGCGACGAUCCAUAGCCGGCCUGAGAGGGUGAACGGCCACAUUGGGACUGAGACACGGCCCAGACUCCUACGGGAGGCAGCAGUGGGGAAUAUUGCACAAUGGGGGAAACCCUGAUGCAGCGACGCCGCGUGAAGGAAGAAGUAUCUCGGUAUGUAAACUUCUAUCAGCAGGGAAGAAAAUGACGGUAC
RNAcentral lists this ribosomal RNA (449 nucleotides) under uncultured bacterium. Its description in RNAcentral is "bacterial SSU rRNA". It matches the Rfam family "Bacterial small subunit ribosomal RNA", at positions 28 to 478 of the family's 1533-position model. The record is from RNAcentral.